AUUCCAGCUCCAAUAGCGUAUAUUAAAGUUGUUGCAGUUAAAAAGCUCGUAGUUGGAGUUCAGGGUGAGCUCAGCCGGUCGGCGUCAUGCGUCAGAACUGGUCGACUCUCCCUUGUUUGUGGAUCCCGCCCGGAGUUAACUCUUCGGGAUGUGGAGUUCACAUCGUUUACCUUGAAAAAAUUAGAGUGUUCAAAGCAGGCGUUUGCUUGAAUAUAUUAGCAUGGAAUAAUGGAAUAGGACCCUGGUUCUAUUUUGUUGGUUUUGAGAACCAGAGUAAUGAUUAAUAGGGAUAGUUGGGGGCAUUCAUAUUUCAUUGUCAGAGGUGAAAUUCUUGGAUUUAUGAAAGAUGAACUUCUGCGAAAGCAUUUGCCAAGGAUGUUUUCAUCA
This 387-nucleotide ribosomal RNA is filed under the name Telonemia sp. RNAcentral's name for it is "partial small subunit ribosomal RNA". It matches the Rfam family "Eukaryotic small subunit ribosomal RNA", at positions 582 to 975 of the family's 1831-position model. Lineage: Eukaryota; Telonemia. The record is from RNAcentral.